RNAcentral lists this ribosomal RNA (497 nucleotides) under uncultured bacterium. RNAcentral describes it as "partial 16S ribosomal RNA". It matches the Rfam family "Bacterial small subunit ribosomal RNA", at positions 28 to 507 of the family's 1533-position model. The record is from RNAcentral.
GAUGAACGCUGGCGGCGUGCCUAAUACAUGCAAGUCGAGCGAACAGGCGAGGAGCUUGCUCCUCUGACGUUAGCGGCGGACGGGUGAGUAACACGUGGAUAACCUACCUAUAAGACUGGGAUAACUUCGGGAAACCGGAGCUAAUACCGGAUAAUAUAUUGAACCGCAUGGUUCAAUAGUGAAAGACGGUUUUGCUGUCACUUAUAGAUGGAUCCGCGCCGCAUUAGCUAGUUGGUAAGGUAACGGCUUACCAAGGCAACGAUGCGUAGCCGACCUGAGAGGGUGAUCGGCCACACUGGAACUGAGACACGGUCCGGACUCCUACGGGAGGCAGCAGUAGGGAAUCUUCCGCAAUGGGCGAAAGCCUGACGGAGCAACGCCGCGUGAGUGAUGAAGGUCUUCGGAUCGUAAAACUCUGUUAUUAGGGAAGAACAAAUGUGUAAGUAACUAUGCACGUCUUGACGGUACCUAAUCAGAAAGCCACGGCUAACUACGUG